AACGAACGCUGGCGGCAUGCCUAACACAUGCAAGUCGAACGAGAUCUUCGGGUCUAGUGGCGCACGGGUGCGUAACGCGUGGGAAUCUGCCCUUUGGUUCGGAAUAACAGUUGGAAACGACUGCUAAUACCGGAUGAUGACGAAAGUCCAAAGAUUUAUCGCCAGAGGAUGAGCCCGCGUAGGAUUAGCUAGUUGGUGUGAUAAAGGCGCACCAAGGCGACGAUCCUAGCUGGUCUGAGAGGAUGAUCAGCCACACUGGGACUGAGACCCGGCCCAGACUACUACGGGAGGCAGCAGUGGGGAAUAUUGGACAAUGGGCGAAAGCCUGAUCCAGCAAUGCCGCGUGAGUGAUGAAGGCCUUAGGGUUGUAAAAUUCUUUCACCGGGGACGAUAAUGACGGUACCCGGAGAAGAAGCCCCGGCUAACUUCGUGCCAGCAGCCGCCGUAA
RNAcentral lists this ribosomal RNA (448 nucleotides) under uncultured bacterium. RNAcentral's name for it is "partial 16S ribosomal RNA". It matches the Rfam family "Bacterial small subunit ribosomal RNA", at positions 29 to 523 of the family's 1533-position model. The record is from RNAcentral.